UGGUGGGUAGUUUGACUGGGGCGGUCUCCUCCUAAAGAGUAACGGAGGAGCACGAAGGUUGGCUAAUCCUGGUCGGACAUCAGGAGGUUAGUGCAAUGGCAUAAGCCAGCUUGACUGCGAGCGUGACGGCGCGAGCAGGUGCGAAAGCAGGUCAUAGUGAUCCGGUGGUUCUGAAUGGAAGGGCCAUCGCUCAACGGAUAAAAGGUACUCCGGGGAUAACAGGCUGAUACCGCCCAAGAGUUCAUAUCGACGGCGGUGUUUGGCACCUCGAUGUCGGCUCAUCACAUCCUGGGGCUGAAGUAGGUCCCAAGGGUAUGGCUGUUCGCCAUUUAAAGUGGUACGCGAGCUGGGUUUAGAACGUCGUGAGACAGUUCGGUCCCUAUCUGCCGUGGGCGCUGGAGAACUGAGGGGGGCUGCUCCUAGUACGAGAGGACCGGAGUGGACGCAUCACUGGUGUUCGGGUUGUCAUGCCAAUGGCACUGCCCGGUAGCUAAAUGCGGAAGAGAUAAGUGCUGAAAGCAUCUAAGCACGAAACUUGCCCCGAGAUGAGUUCUCCCUGAGACUAU
RNAcentral lists this ribosomal RNA (566 nucleotides) under Salmonella enterica subsp. salamae. Its description in RNAcentral is "partial 23S ribosomal RNA". It matches the Rfam family "Bacterial large subunit ribosomal RNA", at positions 2259 to 2824 of the family's 2925-position model. Lineage: Bacteria; Pseudomonadati; Pseudomonadota; Gammaproteobacteria; Enterobacterales; Enterobacteriaceae. The record is from RNAcentral.